Molecule: transfer RNA, 58 nt
Filed under: Laevapex fuscus
Lineage: Eukaryota; Metazoa; Mollusca; Gastropoda; Ancylidae
Description: tRNA-Tyr
Source: RNAcentral
UUUUUGAAAGCAAAGUGCAUUAGACUGUAAAUCUAAAAUUGGUAAAAACCUCAAAAAA